UUAUAUCACCCAGAUACCCUGAACAAGCUGGAUCCCGUCUGAUCUCAGAAGCUAAGCAGGGUCAGGCCUGGUUAGUACUUGGAUGGGAGACCACCUAUGAAGACCAGGUGCUGUAGGCG
Molecule: ribosomal RNA, 119 nt
Filed under: Pteropus alecto (black flying fox)
Lineage: Eukaryota; Metazoa; Chordata; Mammalia; Chiroptera; Pteropodidae
Source: RNAcentral